CGAUAACGAACGAGACCUUAACCUGCUAAAUAGCCCGUAUUGCUUUGGCAGUACGCUGGCUUCUUAGAGGGACUAUCGGCUCAAGCCGAUGGAAGUUUGAGGCAAUAACAGGUCUGUGAUGCCCUUAGAUGUUCUGGGCCGCACGUGCGCUACACUGACAGAGCCAGCGAGUACUCCCUUGGCCGGAAGGCCCGGGUAAUCUUGUUAAACUCUGUCGUGCUGGGGAUAGAGCAUUGCAAUUAUUGCUCUUCAACGAGGAAUCCCUAGUAAGCGCAAGUCAUCAGCUUGCGUUGAUUACGUCCCUGCCCUUUGUACACACCGCCCGUCGCUACUACCGAUUGAAUGGCU
RNAcentral lists this ribosomal RNA (348 nucleotides) under uncultured Ascomycota. Its description in RNAcentral is "SSU rRNA". It matches the Rfam family "Eukaryotic small subunit ribosomal RNA", at positions 1326 to 1698 of the family's 1831-position model. The record is from RNAcentral. Lineage: Eukaryota; Fungi; Ascomycota.